CUUGGUUGUUUUUGUUGAUAAACAACGGCACACAAUCUUUUGGUUUUCUCGUUUUGGCGGCUUUCGUCGUAAUUGGAUAUUUCGACGUUUACGGUUGGAACGGUGGUAAGAUGUGUGAUAUUCACCUUAUUUAUGGUUAACCGGUGCUCUUGCGUAAAAAGCCAUUAUUAUACAUAGUAAUGAUGUAAUGAUAACACGUUUUGGUAAUUAGAAUUAAAAAAGAGAUGAAUAAUUAACUGAGCAUUGAGAGAUAAACAUCUUAAAGCUGCAUUAUGAGUAUGAGAGUUCGAUUACACUGUUAAAAAAAAUGGAAACUUUUUUGUCACAUGAACAUUAUGUAAAACAUUUGUAUGUAUGUACUAGAGCCACCAAACAAAAAUACAUCCAUGGAAAAAUAUGCAUGUAUGUACACAUCAGAUUUUAUUGUGACAUCAAUAUAUCUAUUUUCAAAAAAAAAAAGGUACACAAAUCUACACUAGACAAAAUUUCAUUGCUUAACUUACAAUAAAUACUUCAAAUUUUCGUGAAUAUUUGGCCUUGGGAAGGCCGCUUCUAAGUCUCCAACAUUCAUCUACUGGCAUUUUUGGAUUCAAUUUCUCUUAUUAACACAUUACCAUUAAGGAAAUACCCUGAAGGAUCCUCCCACCUUUGCCGGGAUGAUAUAAAAUUGAGAGCAGAGCAUACCAAUCGAACUCGUAUGCCAGCGAUAUUGCGCUGAAUAUUCUCUUUCAAGGAGUCAAUCGCCUCGGGCUUUUCUGCGUAGACAGGCGACUCUUCACAUAACCCCACAAAAAAUAGUCCAGCAGUGUUGAAUCACACGAUUUUGGAGGCUACGUCACAUACCCACGAGAUUCUGCGCUCAGUAAAAGUUCCCUUUAUUAAAUUAUUUGUUUGGCUGUAUGGCAUCUUGGCCGACCACAUCAAUAUCCUCGAAUUCAGGCACGAAAAAGGCCAUAAUCACGGUUCUAUGUCCCCAAAGACUGUAACAUGGAACACCUUAAACACGGGACUUUAGAGGUUAUAACGUCGUCUCAACAAUGGCUUGCGAAUGUUAAUUAUUUAUUAAAAUCCGGACUUUUUGAUCGAACAAGCAGAUAGUGGCGACCUGCGUAUAGGCUUUUUGACCGAAGUCAAGCUUGGAUAGUGAAUUGAAAACAAGUACAAGUUAAAUAGUCAAACAAGUCAUAUUUUGAGCCCGAUGAGUAUUUCAAAAUUCUGAAUGGCAUGUGAAAUGAAAUGAAGGAGCUUUAUUAUUAUUAUUGCCAUCGAACUUUGUUCAACUUUCAAGUCAAAUCGAUUGUUUAUUAAUCACUUGAAAUUAUUCAAAAAAUGCGAAUAUACGUGAGCCUGCAACUCAGUCAGCUGUUGGUGUAACACAUUGUUUACUGAUUGCAUAAUAUUUUUUUUAGUAAUUCGAAUAUAAAAAAGAGGAGAGUGAAUAAAGUAAGCCUGCACUCAUAACAAAUUCGAGAGCCAAUUCUUUAUUUGACAUUUUUGUUAAACAACGCGAUGUUUGUAUGUGUCAAGCGCCCAAAAACAACGUGCAUAUGUGGAUACCGUAAUUCAUGUAAAGUGCGAGUGCGAGUGCGAGUGUGAGAGCGAAGAGUGUGUGUUGGCGCAUAUUGCAUUGUCAUGAAAUUGAUUGGCUGUAAUAAAUUUUGAAGGUUAAUUGCGCGCAUACAAAUCGAAUUACAUUUUAUGUGUAGAUAAAAAUAAACAAAUGGCUAAAAAAUGAUGCCUUCGCUAUCAAAAUAUUAUUUUUACAUUAUUUUAACGUGUGUUUUUUUUUAACUAUGGUUGUUUUUUAUAGUUUUUUUUUUUGGGUUAUCUCAAGUGACCAGAUAUCGCAAAUACAAUUGUAUGUACGUAUGUAUGUAUGUAUAUAUGUCAAUAAUCAACAACUGUUUUAAUAAACUGUGAUUGAUGUGAAUAAUGGAACUAACAAAAUAACAAUCCUUUUAUAUA
Molecule: long non-coding RNA, 1965 nt
Organism: Ceratitis capitata (Mediterranean fruit fly)
Lineage: Eukaryota; Metazoa; Arthropoda; Insecta; Diptera; Tephritidae
Exons: 6
Source: RefSeq, a predicted model, not a curated record